UACGUAGGUGGCAAGCGUUGUCCGGAUUUAUUGGGCGUAAAGCGAGCGCAGGCGGUUUCUUAAGUCUGAUGUGAAAGCCCCCGGCUCAACCGGGGAGGGUCAUUGGAAACUGGGAGACUUGAGUGCAGAAGAGGAGAGUGGAAUUCCAUGUGUAGCGGUGAAAUGCGUAGAUAUAUGGAGGACACCAGUGGCGAAGCGGCUCUCUGGUCUGUAACUGACGCUGAGGCUCGAAAGCGUGGGGAGCAAACAGGA
RNAcentral lists this ribosomal RNA (252 nucleotides) under uncultured Enterococcaceae bacterium. Its description in RNAcentral is "partial 16S ribosomal RNA". It matches the Rfam family "Bacterial small subunit ribosomal RNA", at positions 524 to 777 of the family's 1533-position model. The record is from RNAcentral. Lineage: Bacteria; Bacillati; Bacillota; Bacilli; Lactobacillales; Enterococcaceae.